GACGUAGGGCGCGAGCGUUGUCCGGAUUUAUUGGGCGUAAAGAGCUCGUAGGCGGCUUGUCGCGUCGUCCGUGAAAACUUGUGGCUUAACCACAGGCUGGCGGUCGAUACGGGCAGGCUGGAGUUCGGUAGGGGAGACUGGAAUUCCUGGUGUAGCGGUGAAAUGCGCAGAUAUCAGGAGGAACACCGGUGGCGAAGGCGGAUCUCUGGGCCGAUACUGACGCUGAGGAGCGAAAGCGUGGGGAGCGAACAGG
RNAcentral lists this ribosomal RNA (253 nucleotides) under uncultured bacterium. Its description in RNAcentral is "partial 16S ribosomal RNA". It matches the Rfam family "Bacterial small subunit ribosomal RNA", at positions 524 to 776 of the family's 1533-position model. The record is from RNAcentral.